UCUGGCGGCAGUAGCGCGGUGGUCCCACCUGACCCCAUGCCGAACUCAGAAGUGAAACGCCGUAGCGCCGAUGGUAGUGUGGGGUCUCCCCAUGCGAGAGAAGGGAACUGCCAGAC
RNAcentral lists this ribosomal RNA (116 nucleotides) under Salmonella enterica. Lineage: Bacteria; Pseudomonadati; Pseudomonadota; Gammaproteobacteria; Enterobacterales; Enterobacteriaceae. The record is from RNAcentral.